GAUGAACGCUGGCGGCGUGCCUAAUACAUGCAAGUCGAGCGAACGGACGAGAAGCUUGCUUCUCUGAUGUUAGCGGCGGACGGGUGAGUAACACGUGGAUAACCUACCUAUAAGACUGGGAUAACUUCGGGAAACCGGAGCUAAUACCGGAUAAUAUUUUGAACCGCAUGGUUCAAAAGUGAAAGACGGUCUUGCUGUCACUUAUAGAUGGAUCCGCGCUGCAUUAGCUAGUUGGUAAGGUAACGGCUUACCAAGGCAACGAUGCAUAGCCGACCUGGGAGGGUGACCGGCCCCCCGGGCACUGAGACACGCUCCAGACUCCUACGGGAGGCAGCAGUAGGGAAUCUUCCGCAAUGGGCGAAAGCCUGACGGAGCACCGCCGCGUGAGUGAUGAAGGUCUUCGGAUCGUAAAACUCUGUUAUUAGGGAAGAACAUAUGUGUAAGUAACUGUGCACAUCUUGACGGUACCUAAGCAGAAAGCCACGGCUAACUACGUG
This 497-nucleotide ribosomal RNA is filed under the name uncultured bacterium. RNAcentral's name for it is "partial 16S ribosomal RNA". It matches the Rfam family "Bacterial small subunit ribosomal RNA", at positions 28 to 507 of the family's 1533-position model. The record is from RNAcentral.